Molecule: long non-coding RNA, 407 nt
Filed under: Homo sapiens (human)
Lineage: Eukaryota; Metazoa; Chordata; Mammalia; Primates; Hominidae
Description: long non-coding RNA NONHSAT006377.2
Source: RNAcentral
AAUAUAUUUUAAAGUCAGUGAAAAGUGAUUUUGGGCUGGGCACAUGACCCGAGAUCACGCCACGCACUCCAGCCUGGGUGACAGAGUGAGACUCCGUCUAAAAAAUAAAUAAAUAAAAGUUAGACACAGUUUAGAGGUACUUGUGCUGACCUGAAUUCACUGAAAUGCUUUUCCUACAUCCCAGUGACUGUGAAGUGCUGACCACACUCACCCCAGACACUGGCCGUAUCCUGUCCAAGCUACAUACUGUCCAACCCAAGGGCAAGAUCACCUUCUGCACGGGCAUCCGCGUGGCCCAUCUGGCUCUGAAGCACCGACAAGGCAAGAAUCACAAGAUGCGCAUCAUUGCCUUUGUGGGAAGCCCAGUGGAGGACAAUGAGAAGGAUGUGAGUCCAAGUGGCAGCUGG